GCCUAACACAUGCAAGUGAGCGAUUUACUUCGGUAAAGAGCGGCGGACGGGUGAGUAACGCGUGGGUAACCUACCCUGUACACACGGAUAACAUACCGAAAGGUAUGCUAAUACGGGAUAAUAUAUUUGAGAGGCAUCUCUUAAAUAUCAAAGGUGAGCCAGUACAGGAUGGACCCGCGUCUGAUUAGCUAGUUGGUAAGGUAACGGCUUACCAAGGCGACGAUCAGUAGCCGACCUGAGAGGGUGAUCGGCCACAUUGGAACUGAGACACGGUCCAAACUCCUACGGGAGGCAGCAGUGGGGAAUAUUGCACAAUGGGCGAAAGCCUGAUGCAGCAACGCCGCGUGAGUGAUGAAGGCCUUCGGGUCGUAAAACUCUGUCCUCAAGGAAGAUAAUGACGGUACUUGAGGAGGAAGCCCCGGCUAACUACGUGCCAGCAGCCGCGGUAAUACGUAGGGGGCUAGCGUUAUCCGGAUUUACUGGGCGUAAAGGGUGCGUAGGCGGUCUUUCAAGUCAGGAGUGAAAGGCUACGGCUCAACCGUAGUAAGCUCUUGAAACUGGGAGACUUGAGUGCAGGAGAGGAGAGUGGAAUUCCUAGUGUAGCGGUGAAAUGCGUAGAUAUUAGGAGGAACACCAGUUGCGAAGG
This 646-nucleotide ribosomal RNA is filed under the name uncultured Clostridium sp. Its description in RNAcentral is "bacterial SSU rRNA". It matches the Rfam family "Bacterial small subunit ribosomal RNA", at positions 46 to 721 of the family's 1533-position model. The record is from RNAcentral. Lineage: Bacteria; Bacillati; Bacillota; Clostridia; Eubacteriales; Clostridiaceae.